Molecule: non-coding RNA, 30 nt
Filed under: Mus musculus (house mouse)
Lineage: Eukaryota; Metazoa; Chordata; Mammalia; Rodentia; Muridae
Source: RNAcentral
UCCUUCAGUGUCUUUCCUAAAGGUCCAAGG